Triticum aestivum (bread wheat) is the source of this 69-nucleotide non-coding RNA. Lineage: Eukaryota; Viridiplantae; Streptophyta; Magnoliopsida; Poales; Poaceae. The record is from Rfam.
CCACUUCUCAGUUGAUAAAGCACAAGGAUCUUAACCUUGUGGACAUGGGUUCAAGCCCCAUGAUGGGGG